CAGCAGCCACGGUAAUACAGAGGGUGCGAGCGUUAAUCGGAUUUACUGGGCGUAAAGCGUGCGUAGGCGGCUUUUUAAGUCGGAUGUGAAAUCCCUGAGCUUAACUUAGGAAUUGCAUUCGAUACUGGGAAGCUAGAGUAUGGGAGAGGAUGGUAGAAUUCCAGGUGUAGCGGUGAAAUGCGUAGAGAUCUGGAGGAAUACCGAUGGCGAAGGCAGCCAUCUGGCCUAAUACUGACGCUGAGGUACGAAAGCAUGGGGAGCAAACAGGAUUAGAGACCCCAGUAGUCCCUGUCUCUUAUAU
This 301-nucleotide ribosomal RNA is filed under the name uncultured bacterium. Its description in RNAcentral is "partial 16S ribosomal RNA". It matches the Rfam family "Bacterial small subunit ribosomal RNA", at positions 509 to 809 of the family's 1533-position model. The record is from RNAcentral.